ACACAUGGAUAACAUACUGAAAAGUUUACUAAUACAUGAUAAUAUAUAUUUGCGGCAUCGCAGAUAUAUCAAAGUGUUAGCGGUAUAGGAUGGACCCGCGUCUGAUUAGCUAGUUGGUGAGAUAACUGCCCACCAAGGCGACGAUCAGUAGCCGACCUGAGAGGGUGAUCGGCCACAUUGGAACUGAGACACGGUCCAAACUCCUACGGGAGGCAGCAGUGGGGAAUAUUGCACAAUGGGCGAAAGCCUGAUGCAGCAACGCCGCGUGAACGAUGAAGGUCUUCGGAUCGUAAAGUUCUGUUGCAGGGGAAGAUAAUGACGGUACCCUGUGAGGAAGCCCCGGCUAACUACGUGCCAGCAGCCGCGGUAAUACGUAGGGGGCUAGCGUUAUCCGGAUUUACUGGGCGUAAAGGGUGCGUAGGUGGUCCUUCAAGUCGGUGGUUAAAGGCUACGGCUCAACCGUAGUAAGCCGCCGAAACUGGAGGACUUGAGUGCAGGAGAGGAAAGUGGAAUUCCCAGUGUAGCGGUGAAAUGCGUAGAUAUUGGGAGGAACACCAGUAGCGAAGGCGGCUUUCUGGACUGCAACUGACACUGAGGCACGAAA
Molecule: ribosomal RNA, 604 nt
Filed under: uncultured Peptostreptococcaceae bacterium
Lineage: Bacteria; Bacillati; Bacillota; Clostridia; Peptostreptococcales; Peptostreptococcaceae
Description: bacterial SSU rRNA
Rfam family: Bacterial small subunit ribosomal RNA
Source: RNAcentral